GGAGGCGUGGCCGAGUGGUUGAUGGCACUAGUCUUGAAAACUAGAGACCCCGAAAGGGGUUCGUAGGUUCGAAUCCUACCGCCUCCGCAA
Molecule: transfer RNA, 90 nt
Filed under: Spirochaetota bacterium
Lineage: Bacteria; Pseudomonadati; Spirochaetota
Description: Spirochaetes bacterium tRNA-Ser
Rfam family: tRNA
About the family: Transfer RNA (tRNA) molecules are approximately 80 nucleotides in length. Their secondary structure includes four short double-helical elements and three loops (D, anti-codon, and T loops).
Source: RNAcentral